UUACUUUGGCAGGAUAUAUACUAAAAUUGGAAUGAUGCAGAGAAGAUUAGUAUGGCUCCUGAGCAAGGACGACAUUCAGAUUUGGGAAGCAUUCCAGUAAAAG
Small nuclear RNA from Trichosurus vulpecula (common brushtail), 103 nucleotides. The record is from RefSeq and is a predicted model, not a curated record. Lineage: Eukaryota; Metazoa; Chordata; Mammalia; Diprotodontia; Phalangeridae.